AUCAGUGAAAACCACGUGAUCAUCCACGACAGCGGUCCAGAGUCGCUGAGAUAACCGGAACUGCUGAGGCCGGAGAAUUCGAGAUAACACGGUGUGCAGCUGGAUGAACACAGCAGGUCAAGCUGUACCAGAGGAGCAGGAAAGCUAACGUUUCGGGCUUGGAUCUUUCGUUGAGACCAAGAUUUGUGCAACUGAGAUACCAGCGAUCGUUGCCGAAGCCCUGUUGCCUGUUGAGAAGUUUAACCUUCGUGUCCUGCUGCAGUUUGUAUGAUGAAGGUGCUCCCACAAUACGGUCAUUUGAGAAGUUACAGAUCAUUCAUCUAGCAAUACUGAAGAGCUAACGGUGAUAUUACAAGUGGACUUUCAGGUGGGAGUCUCAAUAGUUGUAGCACCAAACUCUGACAGAAUUACUCGAUUCAUCAGGACCUGGAUAUUCACAUUAUAUUUCCGCAAUUUUACUUCUGCACUGUUCUUAGUCUUUCGAUCCCUCUGAAAGACUGAGUUACAGAUCUAUACACUGCCUGUCCAUCCUCCCUGGAUCUCCCACCUUCUUUCAGUUUUGUGCAAACACUGACUGGAUCCCUUACCUGGAGGAUAUUUAUUUAUGAAUUUGUUCUAAUGAUAAUCCAUCAUAUUCCCCAAGUAUCGCUCCACAAAUGUCCAGAGGAUUUCUGUUUCACAAUCUGCGUGUGUUCUUCUGGUUUCUCACUCACUGCACUUGUUUUCUGUCUGAAAGCUUAGUCUACAGUUGGAGAAUUCAAACAGGAACACAUCCAGAUCUGACAGUCACUUUGUUUAUCACAACUCAAUUACCUCAGGAUUUUGAACACUGAAGGAAAAAGCAGCACUCGCAGUGGGGAGAAAUGCAUAUGGUCUGUGAGGAUUCAUCUGAAAUGUCCUUACACCAGCUCAGUGACACUGGGGAGAGACCAUUCACCUUCUCUAAAUGUGGGAAAGCAUUCACUCAGUCACCCAAACUGUUAACACCCCAGUGAGUUCACAAAGAAGCACAGUUGAAGGGUUUUGCUGUCACACUCAAUAUCAAAUGAACUAUGGUUUUGGGCUGUUUGUACUGAUGUUACUGAUCCCUGCUCAAUUAAAGGUACUGGUAUUGUGGAUAAAAUGUUAAUAUCAGUUGUGUAUCUGUCAGGUAGAGCUUGGAAAUAGUCAUGUUGUCAUGACACAUCGAUACAUUCACACUGACGAAAGACUAUCCACCCGCACGGUAUGUGAAAAGGGAUUUCCUGGUUCAUCAGGACUGGUUAACUAGCAGCAAAUUUCUGAA
Long non-coding RNA from Stegostoma tigrinum, 1285 nucleotides. RefSeq lists it as uncharacterized. The record is from RefSeq and is a predicted model, not a curated record. The transcript is spliced from 4 exons. Lineage: Eukaryota; Metazoa; Chordata; Chondrichthyes; Orectolobiformes; Stegostomatidae.